CUGCGGCGGAUUAGGUAGUUGGUGGGGUAACGGCCUACCAAGCCGAUGAUCCGUAGGGGGCGUGAGAGCGUGGCCCCCCACACUGGCACUGAGACACGGGCCAGACUCCUACGGGAGGCAGCAGUGAGGAAUAUUGCACAAUGGGCGCAAGCCUGAGGCAGCGACACCGCGUGCGGGAUGAAGGCCUUCGGGUCGUAAACCGCUUUUCUGGGGGACGAGUAAGGACGGUACUCCAGGAAUAAGUCCCGGCUAACUACGUGCCAGCAGCCGCGGUAAAACGUAGGGGGCGAGCGUUAUCCGGAAUCACUGGGCGUAAAGGGCGUCUAGGCGGCAGCCUAAGUCCCGUGUGAAAGCUCCCGGCUCAACUGGGAGAGGGCAUGGGAGACUGGGCAGCUAGAGACUCGGAGGGGGGUGUGGAAUUCCCGGUGGAGUGGUGGAAUGCGUUGAGAUCGGGAGGAACACCAGUAGCGAAGGCGGCACCCUGGCCGAGAUCUGACGCUGAAGCGCGAGAGCGUGGGGAGCGAACGGGAUUAGAUACCCCGGUAGUCCACGCCGUAAACGAUGACAACUAGGUGUUGGGUGUCCAAGGAUGCUCAGUACCGCAGCAAACGCGAUAAG
This 618-nucleotide ribosomal RNA is filed under the name uncultured bacterium. Its description in RNAcentral is "bacterial SSU rRNA". It matches the Rfam family "Bacterial small subunit ribosomal RNA", at positions 231 to 864 of the family's 1533-position model. The record is from RNAcentral.